GACGAACGCUGGCGGCGUGCUUAACACAUGCAAGUCGAACGGAAAGGCCCUGCUUUUGUGGGGUGCUCGAGUGCCGAACGGGUGAGUAACACGUGAGUAACCUGCCCUUGACUUUGGGAUAACUUCAGGAAACUGGGGCUAAUACCGGAUAGGAGCUCCUGCUGCAUGGAGGGGGUUGGAAAGUUUCGGCGGUUGGGGAUGGACUCGCGGCUUAUCAGCUUGUUGGUGGGGUAGUGGCUUACCAAGGCUUUGACGGGUCGCCGGCCUGAGAGGGUGAACGGCCACAUUGGGCCUGAGAUACGGCCCAGACUCCUACGGGAGGCAGCAGUGGGGAAUAUUGCACAAUGGGCGGAAGCCUGAUGCAGCAACGCCGCGUGCGGGAUGACGGCCUUCGGGUUGUAAACCGCUUUCGCCUGUGACGAAGCGUGAGUGACGGUAAUGGGUAAAGAAGCACCGGCUAACUACGUG
Molecule: ribosomal RNA, 468 nt
Filed under: uncultured bacterium
Lineage: Bacteria
Description: partial 16S ribosomal RNA
Rfam family: Bacterial small subunit ribosomal RNA
Source: RNAcentral